RNAcentral lists this unclassified non-coding RNA (200 nucleotides) under Hevea brasiliensis (rubber tree). Lineage: Eukaryota; Viridiplantae; Streptophyta; Magnoliopsida; Malpighiales; Euphorbiaceae. The record is from RNAcentral.
UUUGCUAGUAUGUGGUUCAUUCUCCUCUUUGUUUCCAUUUUCGCUACUGGAAUACUUGAGCUCAGGUGGAGUGGAGUCAGCAUUGAAGAUUGGUGGAGAAAUGAACAAUUCUGGGUCAUUGGUGGGACAUCAGCCCAUCUCUUUGCUGUGUUCCAAGGGCUUUUGAAGGUGCUUGCUGGGAUUGAUACCAACUUUACUGU